CAGAGAGGUCGUGUGCUCUCCUUUCCUACCACUCCCAACUCAGAUAAGAGCAAUUCUCUCCAUCGUCUCCUUUAUCUUUUCCUCCCCCUUAAGCCUGGAAGGACACCGGGCUGCUCUCCCUCCUGUUCCCGGCAGCCAAAGGGAGGCACCAGGCAGUGAUGCAAGGAAUGCAGGCUCCCUGCUGCCUGGGAUGGAGCUGAAAAGCCCGAGCCCGAGCCCUCCCACCCUGCUGCUGGCCCCAUCCCCACCAGGAUCCCAUGGGAGCCCCCCAGCCGCUCCGGCACAGCACGGACCCACCUGUGCCUCCUGCGGCUGGCGUGGAGCAGCGUCACCGCGACCUCACCGGGACUCUGGCAUUACAGGCACGCUUUUGGCUUCCUUUUCUAUGGAAAAACGUCCUGAACUCGGAAAAGGCGCUGAUGGAUUAUCCUAUAGCAGCGGCAGUUCCCACGGCAGCAGCGGACGCAGGCGCGGGCUGGCAGCGGGGACGCGAGGCGCGCAGAGGCGGCUGCUGGAAAUCAGAGCAAGCCCCAGCGGCUUCGCUCAGCGCUGCAGGCUUCGGCAGCUCCUCCGGGUAACUUCAGCAUUCGGAUGCUACAACAAUGAAUGGCUCAAGCUACUCGGCUCCUACCCCGCACCUCCUGCUCCUUCAUCGCAUUUCAUCCCCGCUCCGCUGCCCGUCCGAGGAGCCGCACAGUGCGUGGCGGUGCCGGGGAUCGCUGCGCACGGGUGCAGGAAUUUGGUGUAAAGUUUGUGAAAGGGUCUGAUUGAAAAUGAGCUAUAUAAUAUAAAGGUCUUUCUGAAUGCAAUAAGGUCUGCCAGAUGUCAAAACCGUCAGUUCUUUCUCUCUGAAAUCAAAUCAUCUUGGUGGAUUUUUACAGCUACUGCACAAGAUUUGAGACUUUUGACUACAGAUUUGAAGUACACGGAAAAUUAGCCCUGAUAAACUUUGGAGAUGAGAUAGGUUCCUAAAGUAGUAAAUAAUGAUGAAAUGGCAAUCGCAAAGACUAAUCCACAUCACUUGCUAAGCUAGGCUUGUUAAAAUGAACUAUUUUAAUAAGGCCAAAUAUUAGGUUAUACAUCUGUGGCAUAAACACGCAGACUUUGAUUCAGAGAAUAGAGCUGCACCUCUGAAAGCAGUGACUACAAAAAGCAUCACAGACCAUAGCUGACAGGCAGGCUCUGAAAGGCCAAGUCCAGACCUGACUGCAGCAUCCAGGCCAGGAGGAGCCCCAGCACCCCGAGGAGAGCAGCACCCUGCCCUGACAUCCAUGGCUUGGUGAGAUCCGGAUAGCAUCGGUGUGUUGGCUGCGGGUGAUGAAGGCUUACACGGAGGAAGGAGCAAGCUGUGGACCGACAGCCUCAGCCCUGAGAUGGGGGAGAGACUUUGGAGCCUGCGGAUUCCAGCAACCAUACCCAGGAAACCAAGCAUGCCAAAAGCCAAAAAAGAAGAUGAUUCAAGCAGAAUCACUCCACAGCAGCCUGAAAUCUCACACCUAGGCACAGCUCCCAACCUGGAGGAGGCAGGCAGAGAGAUAAGGGUGCAGAAAGCACUGACCUAGCAGGAGGAACAAAUUUCCAUUGUAACAGUGCUGACCCAGCACAGCUGCAGGAAUUCAGGUAAAGAGCAGGAGAGGUACUCUGAGAAACAUUCACUUAUUUUGGGAAAUAUAUAAAUAAAUAUAAAUAAAUAUAAAUAAAUAUAAAGCAAAUCCAUGACUGCCUGCUGGAGCAUGCGUACGGUGCUCUUUCAGAGGAUUCUGUAAAGCUCCUGACUGGCUACAUUAAAAUUGUUGUGUACAUUUUUCAUAGAUCAUAAAACGAUAGGGAAAUACUGCAGUAAGGGGGUGUCUGUCAAACACUGAAGGUAAAAGAGACCGGCGUUCUUACAGAACUAAAAUUGCUCUCCUUUUGGUUUUUAAAUUUUCAGUGGCAGGCAAUUCUGCCACUUUUCAGUUUGCUCAUCUAUUCUAAUGAUUAAUUACUUACAUUCAGUAUUAAAAACACACUUCUUAUUUUUAUUCUGAAUUUGUCUAGCUUCAACUUCUGGUCAGUGCCUUUUGGAUAAGCUUAUCUGCUCAAGCUCCCUGGGAUUAUUUUUCAUUUCCCUAGGACAGAUAUUUUUAGAAAUACCAAAUCAUUCCUCUGUGUGUUAUACUACCAUGACUUGAGCUACCUGAGUGUUUGAACAUAAGGCUAUGCAUCCUCCAAUAUCCACUCCCAGUCCUUUUAUCAUUUUCAUUGACCUUUUUCACCCCCUUGGCCUCCCAGCACCCACCCUGACCGCAGGUCCUGUGUCACUGCCAAGUUUUCUGACCACCGAACAGCAAGGGUGAAGCCUCCUCCUCGCACUCGUAUCACAGUAGCCUCCUUGGCUAUAAAAUUGCCCCGAAAAUGCACAUUCAGGCAACUACAUGCCACAACCUCCAAAAUAUUUUGGAGUCAUUCUUCCCUGCAUACCAUCCUUUUAAUCCUCAUCAUUCCUCCGAGGGUUUUCUAAUUUGCCUACCCAGCCUACCAGCAGGGAUUUUGCAUUUUUCCUCCUGGCCAUUCAAACAACCCUUACCAGCACUGAGGCCAGGUCCCUGCAGAACUCCACGUGAAAGCCCGCCCUGUGCAGCGGUUUCUUUUUCAGUUAUAUUGAGGCCACCUAGCCAAACAUUGCUUUCAAUCUGCUGUAUGCCUGCUACAUCGAGGAUUCCUUUCUAAAUUAUGCAGCGCUCAUAGUAAAUGCAUUAUUUCAACAGUAUCACUUUAUUAAUCAAAAUUAAUCUAAUCAAAAACUAGAAGCUGAGCCUGACUACACCGAAUUGACAAAAGCCUGUGUGUGCUGACGGGCAUGAGUUACCUUCUUAUUUACAGAUCAACAAAACAGCUUAUCUGCUGCUCAGUGAUUGUAUUCACCAUCAAAGUCAAGCUGGUAAACCAAACGUGUCAGAGAUUGCCCUGCCUGACUUCACUCAAGAAAUAACGUGCGUUUUCCUCCAGCGCUCUGGGAACUUUCCAACUGCUCCAAGACAUGGCAACGACCAGCAGCAAGCAGCCAAACUAAGAAAUUUUGCUCCUCUUUCGGAAUGCAGUUUGGGCUGAAAACGUAGAAGGUGCAAUUCCACAUCCUUUUGAAUUACCUCUGACAGAUGGCUGAGACCAUCAGCGUAUUGCACAAUCGCUGCCUUCUCACCAGCCAAACCACCAUCUGAAAACUAUUUUCCUGUAACUUCAACCAUUACGACUGAACAAUUUAUCAUUAUUAUUUAAAUGCAACAACAGGCCAAUAUCAUUCUUACUGGCUUUUAUUGUUUAUACUAAUAAUGUAUGGCCAUUUCUCUUUCCCCUUUGUAAUCCUUUUUUUCAAACCCACCUUCUACACAGCAGAACUCCCAGUUUCCAUUCUUUGCUCGCAAUCUUUGCCUUUUCUCAUCCCCUUCAGCUGUAUAAAUGGUUUUUGCUCCCCUUCCAAGUCUUUUUUGCCUGGGGUCACUUGGCCAAGUAUUCUUAAACAGCUCCUAGUUAUUAAUAUUUUUAUGUUCACAUUAUUUACUCAGCUGACAUUGAUUUCAGCUUUGCAAGACAGACUCUCCUGAAGCACUGCUAGAUGCUGCUGUGUACCUCAUUUACAUGCAACAAACGUAAUCAGGUCAUGAUCACUUACACCUAAAUAAUGACUCAUUGUAGCCCUGAGCAAUUCCUCUUUUGAAGUUGAAUUCUCUAGGACAGAAUCUCCACCAGAUAUGUCCUUUUUCAUGCUUAAAAAGUGUUACCUCUAUUUUCAAGAAAUUCCAGCUUAUAUAGAAAACCUCAGAGGUGGUACUCUUAAAAAAAAUAUAUCUAUUUUAUUUUUAUGUUCAUUUUAAGUAGAGAAUCAUUUUGUUUUCCUGUGAUUUAGCAGUUGACACAAAUUCCACAUGCCAUCUACUUGCACUGCUCUUACAUCAGACCAUUCCGGUGCUCUCGCCGUGCCUGAAUCAGGCAGCGGUCCCCAGCGCUUGGUCCCUCGGGCAUCCCUCCUGUGUUGAAGCUGGCAGCGGGCAGCAGACAUCCCCGAGCUGGGACACGGUCCCAGCCCCUGCAGAAGGUGUCAUGCAAUGUGCCCACACAGCUGCAAGCCCCACACACCCUCCAAGCCCCUGCUGCACCCUCAAGCAGCUUUUUCCAUCACCUUUAUAUACACUAAAAAAAUGUAAAAGCAUUGCAUUGUACACUCCUAAUUGUCUCUUGUGAAUGCCAAUCAUUAUCAGCUUGGAAGCAGCACAGAAAACUGUGAAUGGGUUCGUGAUGCUUCAUGAUCAGGUUUGAGGCCCUGGAGAUUGAGAGACCGGUAGCUGAG
Non-coding RNA from Anas platyrhynchos (mallard), 4327 nucleotides. NCBI's taxonomy places the organism in Eukaryota, Metazoa, Chordata, Aves, Anseriformes, Anatidae. The record is from RefSeq and is a predicted model, not a curated record.